Vitrella brassicaformis is the source of this 74-nucleotide transfer RNA. It matches the Rfam family "tRNA". Rfam says of the family: Transfer RNA (tRNA) molecules are approximately 80 nucleotides in length. The record is from Rfam. Lineage: Eukaryota; Vitrellaceae.
UCCUCCGUAGCUCAGUUGGUUAGAGCGUGCGGCUGUUAACCGCAAGGUCGGAGGUUCAAGCCCUCCCGGGGGAG